Molecule: non-coding RNA, 72 nt
Organism: Streptomyces hygroscopicus
Lineage: Bacteria; Bacillati; Actinomycetota; Actinomycetes; Kitasatosporales; Streptomycetaceae
Source: Rfam
CUUCACCGAACCCAGCCACAACGGAUCCCCCUCACGAUCCCGCCCAUAGGUGGCCAACAAAGCCUGCGCCUC